RNAcentral lists this ribosomal RNA (87 nucleotides) under Clavulina cristata. RNAcentral's name for it is "partial 18S ribosomal RNA". Lineage: Eukaryota; Fungi; Basidiomycota; Agaricomycetes; Cantharellales; Hydnaceae. The record is from RNAcentral.
UCUUCCAAACACCUGUGCACAUUUUUGAGGGAGUCUUGAGUUGGUUGCCGCUCUUGGGUGAUUUUCUCACAUUCCCUUAAAUCAUUA